This 1225-nucleotide long non-coding RNA is filed under the name Equus caballus (horse). Its description in RNAcentral is "lncRNA (ENSECAG00000054879.1)". The record is from RNAcentral. Lineage: Eukaryota; Metazoa; Chordata; Mammalia; Perissodactyla; Equidae.
CAGGACCAGGUCCCCGGAAGACAGAGGCAGAAAAGGCUUUUGCCUGUGGUUGGUCACAUUGUUUGCAUAAAUAGAAGAGUCCACCUGAGAGGCCCGGGGUCCUUCCAGGAGGGCACGUUUGAAGCUGGUUCCGAGAACCCUAAUUUUUAAAUGGACACAUUGCUGAACAGCUAAGAAACUACGUUCCCAGCUUCCCUUGCAUCUCUGAUGACCACGUGACCAGGUUUUAGCCAAUGGGAGGCUAAUAGAAGUGUCACAUAGAUGUGGUGGACCAACUGUUACAACGAUGCCCGUGACCCUCGGCUCCGGAGGUUGACAUCUUCGUGUGAUCUUCUCCCCUGGAGGUGGGCAGGAGCUCUGACCUGCUUCUAGAGGCAGAGAAUACAGCAAAUGUGGUAGGAUGUCUGUGACUCCAUGUGCAUGAUUACGUGUUCAUACGUACAUCACUACGUACAGAAGAUGGUAAUGUCUGUCUUCCAAGCAGCCUCUGUCUUCCUUGCUCGUUUGCUGAAGGAAGUGGCCUUUAGGGGAAAGCCCACAGGACAAGAAACUGCAGGUGGCUUCUGGGAGCUGAGGGAGGCCUCCAGCCACCAGCCGGGAAGAAACGGAAGCCCUCAGUCCCACAACCACAGAGCUGGAAUGCUCUCAACAGAGCCAUGUUAACUUGGAGAUUAGCCCUGAGCUAACAUCUGCUGCCAAUCCUCCUCUUUUUGCUGAGGAAGACUGGCCCUAAGCUAACAUCCGUGCCCAUCUUCCUCUACUUUAUAUGUGGGACGCCUGCCACAGCAUGGCUUGACCGGUGGUGCCAUGUCUGCAGAACUCACACAGUUGGAGUCAACCCUCCGCAGGCUGCAGAGAGAUUCCAGACCUGAAUUACCCACCCAUCUUUCUUUUGUGUUUUUCUUUAACAUUUUCUGAAAGGGCAGCUCCAGGAACCUGAAUAUUCACUUUUGUUGCAUCCAGCAUAAUAGCCUUCCUUUGAGUAUUCACAACAAGUCCAAACAAACCUUCAGCCGCACAGGUUUUAUCAGCCGAGUCAGAACUGCCAACCGAAGGGGGAGAUAAAUAGCAAAAGGAACAGCCACGUGGAGUAAACGGCACCACACAUGGCAGGGAACACGUUCAGCGGGCAGAGCCCGGGAGCGCCCGGCCCGUGACCAGGAGCGUGGGCAGCGUGGAGCAUCAGGAGGCCGGAAGAAUCAGAGAGCAGGCUGGAGGAGCAGGG